Molecule: long non-coding RNA, 4519 nt
Organism: Ctenopharyngodon idella (grass carp)
Lineage: Eukaryota; Metazoa; Chordata; Actinopteri; Cypriniformes; Xenocyprididae
Exons: 8
Source: RefSeq, a predicted model, not a curated record
GUAGGCGACUGUGGGCCGGGGAGAGGAAACGCCACUAUGUGUGUGUGUGCGUGUGUGUUUCCUGAAAAGGCUGGGAAACACUAGCGUCGGCUGGGGGAAAAAACCUUUGAGGCUGUUCAUCAAGCUGUUCAUGGAAUCCGUGUGUUUCACCAGCGGAGACUUCCAGCAGAGAGAAAGGAAAGGAAGGAUUGAUGAGGUCCGAAAGACGAUAGUAGUUUUGCUGGCGUCCACACUACUCCGAAAUUUUCGACCCUCGAAAACUGAGUGUCUCCAAAAUGGAGACUUUUGAAAAUGAAGGCGUGGCUGCCCACAUUUGCUCCCUGAUUGGGUCUUCUGGAUCAAUGCGUCUCAGGAACUGAACUAGCAUGAAGACAAAUCUGGUGAACCUCUCUCAGAACCGGCUUCAUUUCAACUGACUUGAAAGUCGAACAGUGAUGAAGGUCUGUGCCAAAUGCUGGUCCAGUGAUAGGAUUUAGCAGAUAUCGGUUACAAGGCGGUCUUGGCAUUGUCAUUCUCUUCUGGACAGCAGAGAAUGUGCUGCCAUCAACUCAACCCUUGACACCAUCAUGAUCCUGCCCAUUAUUGACAAAACAGACAAAAAGUUGACCUCUAUGGAACUCAACGAGGUCAUUCACUGCCUGGAUUCGGCCACAGUCCCAGGUUGAUUCCCUGAAAAGUGGCACCAUGGGUGUGUGUUUGGGGCAGGGCUAUCAGUUUGUUCGACCAAUGACAGAGGGAAUACAGCUAAUUGGAUUUCUGAAAGCACAACUGGACUCAACCUGUCUGAAAUUCUCGAGUGGUGUAGUUACGGCAUCUACUAGCAGAGGCUAAGUGCUAACCAGCUAAUCCCUGACCCCUUGGAUCAACACAGUGAUGUCAUGAACUGAUUCCAGAUCAGACGCAACUAGCUGUGGGAAGGACUGACUGCAGGUCAGUGUGGAAAUAUUCAAGGGUUCGGGGGAAUAAAUUUGAACCAGUACAAGUCCCACAGUCGUCCUGGGUGAGUUUAUUCCCUUAAGCGCAGUGUGGAAAAUUUGCAUGUCAAGCUGUGUUUUUCAGUGCCUGGAUCCACACACACACGGUCCAAUCCUGUGCGGUGGGGAUCGCCGUCUGGAGAUUGUGCAGCAUUCAAAACUGAGUCACCGCUUGCUGACCUUGCUCACACACACACUCCUCCCGUUAUGGGCCCAUACGUCCGUUCUCAGGCGGAGUGUGUGCCGCGUACAGCUUUGAUCCCCAGCUGAAGGGUACUUACAGGCCAAAUUUCCAAAUGCGUAAGAGUCAGCCCCCCCGCUGGAGAGAGAGACAGGAUGAAUUCUUACACGGCUCUGGGAAUUGGGUCUCGGCGGCUGGAACUAUUAAUAUAUCGCUGUUGACAAGAGAGAGAGAGAGAGAGAGAGAGCGAGAGAGCGAGACCGCUAGAUAGACAUGCACAGAGAAGGACAAAGUUAGAGAACGAUAGAUAGAAAGGAGAGACAGACAGGUAUUAGACAAAAAAGACUGGUAGAAAGAUACAAAGAGGUAGAUAGAUAGAAUGCACACAGGAACAUAGCCCGGGGGGGAGAAAUUAGUUCUCAGGGAACUAUCCUAGUGGCCAGUUCUUAUAACGGAGUUCCUAGAACUAUUUGGUGCGAAAGCCCCUUAUAUAGACAGCAAGAAAGGCAGACCGAGAGACAAACAGGCUGAAAGAGAGGCAGGUGAGGGUCUGAGAAGCAAUGCAGGGAAAAACUGUGUGUGUAUUAUUCCAGCAGGCCUGUGUAUCAGUCAUCAAUGCACAGUUAAGAGUAUCGAUCAGGCAGUUAUUGACGAACGCGUGUAUUACAGAAAGUGUGACCAGCGCUCUGACCCGACACACAGCCCUCUCUCUCUCUCUCUCUCUCUCUCGCUCCCUGUGACUCCAGGUCGGUGUUGAUCUGACCUCACUAGUAACGAUUUCACACACAACCGCAGAACACGUCUGGUCAUGGAUGAGCUAUUCAACCCGCAGGAAGCGCAUCAUCAAUACAAUUAUCAUAUCGCAGUUUAUGACAUUACAGUUGAGUCAUUGAAUCGAACGCAAUUGAAUUAAAUCACGUCGGCUCGUUACAGGUGACGACAGACAGGCCGAGUCAGUCAUCACGCCUAGAGCGAGCGGGCGAGAGAGAGAGAGAGAGAGAGAGGGAUUUGGCUCUUUAUCUCUGCGCUGCUCUACGCUGCUCAACGGCCAGUAAGCAGGAUUAAUGGUCCUGUCUCAGCGUGAGCCAGGUACGCACACACACAUACACACACCGCAAGCUGCCACACAAUCUCACACACGCACACACACGGAGCAGGGCCGGUAAUCGCAUGCAAACAGCACACGCUUUUCAGGCAGAGCUACUUGCGCACACACAUACUCGCAUUUCAAAAGCACAGGAAGCACCUGUUUCUCUCCCACAGAGCCUCGCACACACACGCGCCGUUGCGUUCAUUCCCUCACGCUCUGUCUCUUUUCUCGUCUCAGCUCUCGUCCCGCUUCUGCAGUCAGGGUUUCCCUGGCGCUCUUCAGACAGCAGUGGAGCAUGACGGCAAGAUGUUCCCCGGAGAAAUCCCGCAGCCGUAGACUUCUACCACUCGCUCCGCUUCGUCCCUGCGAUCGUUUCUGUAAAUAUAGAAAACAGAUCGUAGCGCACAAGCGAGGGCCGACAUGGCUUCAUGACUGAUGUUUCCUGGGGAAGGAGCAACAUGUGCUGAAUACUACCAGCUGCACUGCGUGGCCCUCUCAGUGGAGCUGCGUGAGGGGGCCCUGUCAGGCAGCGCUCUGGCUGGAGGCCCAGACCACACACACACACACACUACUCUGUGACAGCAGGCAGAGUGCUUGGCACUGCCCGCCGUCAGACAAGGGGCAGGCCGGAAUGUCAGCGGGCGGCAAUGGCUGCCACGGCAACAGAUCCAUCAGUGUCUGCAGAGGGAGAUUCCAUUACCGUGACGACGGGUUACAUCAUCCAUCUCCGCAGAGCUCUCGCAGUUCCUGUUCACGAGAUGGGAAAAAUACAUGAAUGCUCCAUAAUAUUUCAUAGUGUUAAUGCUUUUAACACCAUAUGAUAAAAUUUUAUAAAAUAUAUGACAGAUGAAUGGAUUGAACAAUGUCCAGAUGAAAGAAAGGGGAAAAACUACUCUAAACACCUUCAACUGCAUAGCAACAUGCUAAAGGCAAAACAUGGCAACGUGCCUAAAACUACUCAGAGCACCUUAGCAACUGCAUAGCAACGUGUUUAAAAUCUCAGGCGACUUGCUAAAAACCACCCACAAGUUUUUCAAUACAGGUUGUGCUCACAUUUUCUUCAGAAAGGUAAGAAGCAGUAGCAAGAAAAUGUGUCAGCAUCAUUGACAGCGCGCGCACUUCUCUGGUCAGGAUGUGAGGUUUGUGUGUUCGUAUCUCGCUGUAAUCACUGAUCUCAUCCACACGAGCAGAAAAAAAAUCACUAGAGAUAUACAACUGCUGACAGAUCUGAUUAAAGUUUAUUAUUAGCGAUGCAGUGAAAUAGUGACUGACACUGAAACAGACAUCAUUAACAUCCGUUGUAAUAAACCACAACAACAUCGACCACAGCGUCCACCAAUCGGAAUAAUUGUAGCGGAAGACGCGCGCCUGAAUCGAGCUCUCUGAUUGGCUACGUUCCCAUAUUCACUAGAAGCUCUUUCUCUUUUAUGAACCUCGUAAACUUUGCGCCCACAAAUUCUGCCGUAUGUUAAAAAUGAUAAUGAAAAAGUUAUUCAAUUUAUUUUUAAUAAAUUAAAAUAUAUUUUAAAAUAACGUAUUCUAAAAAUAAUUUUAGAUGUGUUAAAAUAACGUUUAAUAUAUUUUUAUUGUAAAAUAUAUUCUAGAAUAUAUUAAAAUAUAUCAAGUUUUAUAUAUUUCAUAUAUAUAUAUAAUAUACAGUUACAACUCAAUUUUUGCCUUGUCAGACCACAGAAUCAAUGACCAAAAGGCUUCCUCUUUGUUCUGUGAUCUGACAAGACAAAAAUUGAGUUGUUUAGACAUAGGGAUGUGGCUUUUGUUUGGAGAAAGAAAAAAAAGGAGAAGCAUUCAACUCCAAGAACACCAUCCCCAUGAUCAAGUGUGUUGGUGGGAACAAAAUGCUUUGGUGGUGUUUUUCAGCCAAUGGGCCAGGCAACCUUGUAAACGUAAAUGGCAUCAUGAAAAAAGAAGACUACAUAAGAUUCUGGAGUAAAACUUGACCUAGGGGUGCAGUGGACUUUCCAAAAAGAUAACGAUCCAAACCACACAACAAAAGUGGUAAAGAAAUCGUUGGCAGAGACCAAUAUCAACGAUGGAGUGGCCAAGCCAGAGUCCAGACCGGAAUCCAACUGAGAAUUUGUGGAGAGAAUUGAAGACCAGAGUGAUGGCAAGGAAGCCUUCCAACCUCAAGGACCUGGAGAUCAGCAAAAGAGGAGUGGUCCAAAAUGGAAAUGUGCAAAAAACUAAAAACAAAUUCUAAAAACCGUUUGAGAGCUGUGAUGAAAAAUAAAGGCUUUGUCAUUGAUUAUUGAGAAA